CAUAACCCCGGGAAACUGGGGAUAAUACCGGAUAACGCAUAUGUGCUGGAAUGCUUUAUGCGUAAAACGGAUUCGUCCGCCCAAGGAUGGGUCUGCGGCCUAUCAGGUAGUAGUGGGUGUAAUGUACCUACUAGCCAACAACGGGUACGGGUUGUGAGAGCAAGAGCCCGGAGAUGGAUUCUGAGACAUGAAUCCAGGCCCUACGGGGCGCAGCAGGCGCGAAAACUUUACAAUGCGGGAAACCGUGAUAAGGGAACACCGAGUGCCAGCAUCAUAUGCUGGCUGUCCAGAUGUGUAAAGUACAUCUGUUAGCAAGGGCCGGGCAAGACCGGUGCCAGCCGCCGCGGUAACACCGGCGGCCCGAGUGGUGACCGUUAUUAUUGGGUCUAAAGGGUCCGUAGCCGGUUUGGUCAGUCCUCCGGGAAAUCUGAUAGCUUAACUGUUAGGCUUUCGGGUGAUACUGCCAGGCUUGGAACCGGUAGAGGUAAGAGGUACUACAGGGGUAGGAGUGAAAUCUUGUAAUCCCUGUGAGACCACCUGGGGCGAAAGCGUCUUACCAAAACCGGUUUCACGGUGAAGUAUUAAACCUCGGGGCACAAACCCGUUUUGAUACCCGGGUUUCCCCACCGGGGACUAUGCGCGCUAAAUGUGAUGCCUCUGCCCGCCCGUGUGUCGUGUCACACGGGAACCGUUUAAAGCGGGGCCUGUUGCCAACAAAGGCCAAAGUGUUAAUUUAAAAAGUUUCCGGGGGGAGAAGCCCACAGCGUGUAGGAGCCUUGUUUAUUAAUAUAAAAUCAACGCAGAACUCUCCCCCGGGGAUAUAAAACUAGAGUGGGGGGCCAGGCUAUAAUAGCCUGGCUUUGUAUCAAAUAAAAUGAAGUUGUAAU
Molecule: ribosomal RNA, 887 nt
Filed under: uncultured archaeon
Lineage: Archaea
Description: bacterial SSU rRNA
Rfam family: Archaeal small subunit ribosomal RNA
Source: RNAcentral